RNAcentral lists this ribosomal RNA (1291 nucleotides) under Micrococcus sp. SB13-23. RNAcentral describes it as "bacterial SSU rRNA". It matches the Rfam family "Bacterial small subunit ribosomal RNA", at positions 46 to 1349 of the family's 1533-position model. The record is from RNAcentral. Lineage: Bacteria; Bacillati; Actinomycetota; Actinomycetes; Micrococcales; Micrococcaceae.
GCUUACACAUGCAGUCGAACGAUGAAGCCCAGCUUGCUGGGUGGAUUAGUGGCGAACGGGUGAGUAACACGUGAGUAACCUGCCCUUAACUCUGGGAUAAGCCUGGGAAACUGGGUCUAAUACCGGAUAGGAGCGUCCACCGCAUGGUGGGUGUUGGAAAGAUUUAUCGGUUUUGGAUGGACUCGCGGCCUAUCAGCUUGUUGGUGAGGUAAUGGCUCACCAAGGCGACGACGGGUAGCCGGCCUGAGAGGGUGACCGGCCACACUGGGACUGAGACACGGCCCAGACUCCUACGGGAGGCAGCAGUGGGGAAUAUUGCACAAUGGGCGAAAGCCUGAUGCAGCGACGCCGCGUGAGGGAUGACGGCCUUCGGGUUGUAAACCUCUUUCAGUAGGGAAGAAGCGAAAGUGACGGUACCUGCAGAAGAAGCACCGGCUAACUACGUGCCAGCAGCCGCGGUAAUACGUAGGGUGCGAGCGUUAUCCGGAAUUAUUGGGCGUAAAGAGCUCGUAGGCGGUUUGUCGCGUCUGUCGUGAAAGUCCGGGGCUUAACCCCGUAUCUGCGGUGGGUACGGGCAGACUAGAGUGCAGUAGGGGAGACUGGAAUUCCUGGUGUAGCGGUGGAAUGCGCAGAUAUCAGGAGGAACACCGAUGGCGAAGGCAGGUCUCUGGGCUGUAACUGACGCUGAGGAGCGAAAGCAUGGGGAGCGAACAGGAUUAGAUACCCUGGUAGUCCAUGCCGUAAACGUUGGGCACUAGGUGUGGGGACCAUUCCACGGUUUCCGCGCCGCAGCUAACGCAUUAAGUGCCCCGCCUGGGGAGUACGGCCGCAAGGCUAAAACUCAAAGGAAUUGACGGGGGCCCGCACAAGCGGCGGAGCAUGCGGAUUAAUUCGAUGCAACGCGAAGAACCUUACCAAGGCUUGACAUGUUCUCGAUCGCCGUAGAGAUACGGUUUCCCCUUUGGGGUGGGUUCACAGGUGGUGCAUGGUUGUCGUCAGCUCGUGUCGUGAGAUGUUGGGUUAAGUCCCGCAACGAGCGCAACCCUCGUUCCAUGUUGCCAGCACGUCGUGGUGGGGACUCAUGGGAGACUGCCGGGGUCAACUCGGAGGAAGGUGAGGACGACGUCAAAUCAUCAUGCCCCUUAUGUCUUGGGCUUCACGCAUGCUACAAUGGCCGGUACAAUGGGUUGCGAUACUGUGAGGUGGAGCUAAUCCCAAAAAGCCGGUCUCAGUUCGGAUUGGGGUCUGCAACUCGACCCCAUGAAGUCGGAGUCGCCUAGUAAUCGCAGAU